UGGGAUGUGGCUUAAUGGUAGAACAUUUGCCUAGCACAUGCAAGAGUUUGGGUUCGAUCCCCAGCACUGCAA
This 72-nucleotide transfer RNA is filed under the name Marmota monax (woodchuck). It matches the Rfam family "tRNA". From Rfam's summary of the family: Transfer RNA (tRNA) molecules are approximately 80 nucleotides in length. Their secondary structure includes four short double-helical elements and three loops (D, anti-codon, and T loops). The record is from Rfam by way of RNAcentral. Lineage: Eukaryota; Metazoa; Chordata; Mammalia; Rodentia; Sciuridae.